AUUGAACGCUGGCGGCAGGCCUAACACAUGCAAGUCGAGCGGAUGAAGGGAGCUUGCUCCUGGAUUCAGCGGCGGACGGGUGAGUAAUGCCUAGGAAUCUGCCUGGUAGUGGGGGAUAACGUCCGGAAACGGGCGCUAAUACCGCAUACGUCCUGAGGGAGAAAGUGGGGGAUCUUCGGACCUCACGCUAUCAGAUGAGCCUAGGUCGGAUUAGCUAGUUGGUGGGGUAAAGGCCUACCAAGGCGACGAUCCGUAACUGGUCUGAGAGGAUGAUCAGUCACACUGGAACUGAGACACGGUCCAGACUCCUACGGGAGGCAGCAGUGGGGAAUAUUGGAUAAUGGGCGAAAGCCUGAUCCAGCCAUGCCGCGUGUGUGAAGAAGGUCUUCGGAUUGUAAAGCACUUUAAGUUGGGAGGAAGGGCAGUAAGUUAAUACCUUGCUGUUUUGACGGUACCAACAGAAUAAGCACCGGCUAACUUCGUG
This 484-nucleotide ribosomal RNA is filed under the name uncultured bacterium. RNAcentral's name for it is "partial 16S ribosomal RNA". It matches the Rfam family "Bacterial small subunit ribosomal RNA", at positions 30 to 507 of the family's 1533-position model. The record is from RNAcentral.